Molecule: ribosomal RNA, 294 nt
Filed under: uncultured bacterium
Lineage: Bacteria
Description: partial 16S ribosomal RNA
Rfam family: Bacterial small subunit ribosomal RNA
Source: RNAcentral
GGAUUAGAUACCCUGGUAGUCCACGCCCUAAACGAUGUCUACUAGUUGUCGGGUCUUAAUUGACUUGGUAACGCAGCUAACGCGUGAAGUAGACCGCCUGGGGAGUACGGUCGCAAGAUUAAAACUCAAAGGAAUUGACGGGGACCCGCACAAGCGGUGGAUGAUGUGGAUUAAUUCGAUGCAACGCGAAAAACCUUACCUACCCUUGACAUGUCAGGAAUCCUCGAGAGAUUGAGGAGUGCCCGAAAGGGAGCCUGAACACAGGUGCUGCAUGGCUGUCGUCAGCUCGUGCCG